Molecule: transfer RNA, 74 nt
Filed under: Klebsiella pneumoniae subsp. pneumoniae
Lineage: Bacteria; Pseudomonadati; Pseudomonadota; Gammaproteobacteria; Enterobacterales; Enterobacteriaceae
Description: tRNA-Ile
Rfam family: tRNA
About the family: Transfer RNA (tRNA) molecules are approximately 80 nucleotides in length. Their secondary structure includes four short double-helical elements and three loops (D, anti-codon, and T loops).
Source: RNAcentral
AGGCUUGUAGCUCAGGUGGUUAGAGCGCACCCCUGAUAAGGGUGAGGUCGGUGGUGCAAGUCCACUCAGGCCUA